Molecule: small RNA, 19 nt
Filed under: Arabidopsis thaliana (thale cress)
Lineage: Eukaryota; Viridiplantae; Streptophyta; Magnoliopsida; Brassicales; Brassicaceae
Description: ATSL296020
Source: RNAcentral
UUCCUUUUUUUCCUUUUUU